GUUGUCACUGUUCUCAGUCCAAAUGAUAAUAAUAAAGACAUAUAAUAGAAAUAGACCGAUUCGUUAUUGUUCCCCUACACUGCCAAGGACAGUAAGCAAUACUGUAACUUACUUUUUUUUUCGACAUUUUUAAAAUUUCAUGGAACUGAGUUAUAACCAAGAAUAUCUUGUCAAAAGAAUUAAAGGUAUCAAUUCUAAGCUAACACUGUCCCUAAACGAACUUUAUUUCUACUGGAUAGCUCUAUCAGGUCCCAGUACAAUCUCGUACCCAGAGCAAUGCCUGUGCGCGGGCUAUGAAGGCAUUCGCUCUGGGGAAAUUGACAACUGGAACCCCUAAAUUUAGGGGUUCCCGUUAUUUGUCGGCAUGCACGAUUGACAAACGUUAAACCAAUCACAGCACAGGAAAAAUUCAAUUUCCCCAGAGCCAAUGCCAUCCUAGCCCGCGCACAGGCAUUGCUCUGGGUACGAGAUUCGCCCCAUCUUAUUGAUCCAGGAGGAAACCUAAACUAAACUAACUUUAUAUUGGACAGCUCUAUCAGUUCUAAACUGUUUUCCUAGAGAUCCACCAAGUGUCGUCUCUUAAUUGAUCCAGUGUUACUAGAGGUGCCUUCGUUUUUUACAGAACUUGGUCAUGACAGUUGUAUAGGUGCAUACCGCUGGAAGUCUGGUACUGAUUACCGUGGGCGCAGUUGGGAUCAAGACCUGCCCACUUAC
Paramuricea clavata is the source of this 714-nucleotide non-coding RNA. The record is from the annotation of a GenBank genome assembly. NCBI's taxonomy places the organism in Eukaryota, Metazoa, Cnidaria, Anthozoa, Malacalcyonacea, Plexauridae.